RNAcentral lists this small nucleolar RNA (107 nucleotides) under Gossypium arboreum. Its description in RNAcentral is "Plant small nucleolar RNA R71". It matches the Rfam family "Plant small nucleolar RNA R71". Rfam says of the family: R71 is a member of the C/D box family of snoRNAs containing the C (UGAUGA) and D (CUGA) box motifs. Multiple nearly identical copies of this snoRNA have been identified in Arabidopsis, and it is thought to function as a 2'-O-ribose methylation guide for 18S ribosomal RNA. Lineage: Eukaryota; Viridiplantae; Streptophyta; Magnoliopsida; Malvales; Malvaceae. The record is from Rfam by way of RNAcentral.
AACCCAUGGUGAGGGCACCUUCACAAAAGCUCCUUGUAUCUCUCCCAUUCAUCAUAGAGUGUUUCUAGAUCCAUCUGCAUAAAAGAGGAGAUAUCAUUACGUAAUUU